This is a transfer RNA of Camelus ferus (Wild Bactrian camel), 66 nucleotides long. It matches the Rfam family "tRNA". Rfam says of the family: Transfer RNA (tRNA) molecules are approximately 80 nucleotides in length. Their secondary structure includes four short double-helical elements and three loops (D, anti-codon, and T loops). Further hydrogen bonds mediate the characteristic L-shaped molecular structure. tRNAs have two regions of fundamental functional importance: the anti-codon, which is responsible for specific mRNA codon recognition, and the 3' end, to which the tRNAs corresponding amino acid is attached (by aminoacyl-tRNA synthetases). tRNAs cope with the degeneracy of the genetic code in two manners: having more than one tRNA (with a specific anti-codon) for a particular amino acid; and 'wobble' base-pairing, i.e. permitting non-standard base-pairing at the 3rd anti-codon position. Lineage: Eukaryota; Metazoa; Chordata; Mammalia; Artiodactyla; Camelidae. The record is from Rfam.
UGGGGUAUAGCUCAGUGGUAGAGUGUGUGCUUAGCAUGCACGAGGUCCUGGGUACCAGUACCUCCA